Molecule: long non-coding RNA, 733 nt
Organism: Camellia sinensis
Lineage: Eukaryota; Viridiplantae; Streptophyta; Magnoliopsida; Ericales; Theaceae
Source: RefSeq, a predicted model, not a curated record
UUUCUCUCUCCCUCUCUCUCUCACACACACACACAGACACAGACACAGACACACACAGAACCAGUCACCACCAAACCUCACCUCACUUCAGUCGUUUACCACCUUUGCUUACCGUAAGACGCACAUCGCCACCACACCGCCAUCGCCGCAAUACGAACAGGUUGAGAAAAUUGUUUUUGUAGUUUUCUUCUCGAGGGAGUAAGCAAAGACAAAAAUAUUGAAAAUUUGUGAAGCAUUUGGUGGAAUUUGCUAUUCUGUAUCCGAAGAUAUAAUGAAACAAAGGCAACUAACUCAAGAAAUUUUGUGUAUGAUACACUGAACAUGCUGAAUUUUGAUGUUACAAAAAAAUGUCUUGUCAGAGAGGGUUAGUGUCUAAUAAUUGCCAAAACUCAGAUUGGUUUGGUUUUGAAGAAGUUGUUUGAAGAUGGUAUCGUGAAGCGUGAGGAUUUGUUUAUUACUUUCAAACUCUAGUUUGAAUCAAUCUUUAUUACCUCCAAACUUUGAUUAAUGAUGUAGGCAUGGAUACAGUGAUGUUUUUGGGUCAGAUCGAUGAUGUUUGCAUGGGCGCAAUUUACAUUAUAUUUUUUGUUUAUGGAAAACAUGUACACCUAAUAUGUUUUGUUUAGUAUGAUUUUUUUUAAUUUGAAUUUUAAUUGUUGGUUUGGAUAGUAUAUGUAUUUGUUGGAUUAUACUAUAUUUAUGGAUUCUUAUUUUCUUUGAUGUGUAUGGUUAA